UACGUAGGGCGCAAGCGUUAUCCGGAAUUAUUGGGCGUAAAGAGCUCGUAGGCGGUUUGUCGCGUCUGCCGUGAAAGUCCGGGGCUUAACUCCGGAUCUGCGGUGGGUACGGGCAGACUAGAGUGAAGUAGGGGAGACUGGAAUUCCUGGUGUAGCGGUGAAAUGCGCAGAUAUCAGGAGGAACACCGAUGGCGAAGGCAGGUUUCUGGGCUGUAAAUGACGCUGAGGAG
This 230-nucleotide ribosomal RNA is filed under the name uncultured bacterium. RNAcentral's name for it is "partial 16S ribosomal RNA". It matches the Rfam family "Bacterial small subunit ribosomal RNA", at positions 524 to 753 of the family's 1533-position model. The record is from RNAcentral.